CUUCCAAGUCUGCUGCAAUUUGUGCCUCCAGGUGAAAAAACCCUAGAGAAGAUCACUAGUAGAUCGACGAAAAGGAGAUCAAGAAACAAGAUUAUAUGAUCAAGGAAAACAAGAUCACUAGUUGGUAUAAUUAUCCUAAAACCCUUUAACUCCUACCACCCUUAUCACAUUCCAAACGAGUCAAACCUAGACACACAAAAGCCCAUUUGGAUCUGCAAUUUGUACCUCGAGGUGAAAAAUCUUUGAGAGACUAUUUGUAGAUUAACGAAAGAAAGAUCAAGAAAGAAACAAGGAAGAUAUGGAAGAAGAAGAAAAUAAGAAGAUGAAGAACAUAAUGGUUGAUCUGAAUAUUUGGAGUGAGCGGACUCGGAAAUGAGAUUUUCAUGUGGCAUUCUUCAGUUCUGGAUCCAAAAAUUGAAGCACCCUCACCAGCACUAACCCUGGUGGAAUUAGCUGGUUGAUAUGGUAUCGGCGGUGGUAGAGCGUCAUCAGACUGAUUUGGAUACCCCACACAGAUCCUUUUACCAUUGUUACAAGGUUUCUGCAGGUACACAUGAACUCCUUGCUGGAAGCUACUAAUGCUGCUUGUGAGUAUAUGCCCUGGCACAGAAGUUGAGGUUAUUGCUGGUGGCCCUAAUUGCAGCAGUGGUUAUAUGCCCUGGCGCAGAAGUCACUGCUACGGUUUUCUUAUCAACCCAGAUAACCCACCUUGUUAAUAUUGAUGAAUAAGGUAUUUGCUCGGGUGAUCAAACUGAUUUGGAUCCUCGGCACAGAUCCCUUAACAAGUAGUCAUAUCCUUAACAAGAUUUCUCAAGGUCUGAGGAGAAGCUAAUUAUACACACCUGAAGUGAUAUAUUGAAAGGUUAGGGAUCCUCAUCGUAUUGGUUGUAAUUGUCCUGCAAGGACUAGUCAUUGAUGCAAAGCAAUGGACAGAUAGUAGAAGAACAAGCGAAGGAAGAAGCACAACUGAAACAAACAUGUCCUAAAUUGACAAAGAUGCUUAAUCCUGUUUUAGCAAGUGAAGUUCUUUUUCUAAUACUUAAUUUGAUGUUAUUAUUUUAUACAUGAGAGCCUUCUGUAAAAAGUUUGGUUGAAAAAACAGUCAUACCCACAGGAUACAGGGGAACUCGUGAGCUUUCCUGGAAACCUAGUUUAAGAAUCAGUUCAUCUUCUGUUAGCCCUUUAGUGGAAUCUGUUUGAUUACUCUUCGUUGCUUAUGUAAACACUACUGGGAAAAGCAUCAUUCACUAAUGAUUCAAAAUUUAUCAUAGUCGUAAGUUGAUAC
This is a long non-coding RNA of Papaver somniferum (opium poppy), 1285 nucleotides long. RefSeq lists it as uncharacterized. The transcript is spliced from 3 exons. The record is from RefSeq and is a predicted model, not a curated record. Lineage: Eukaryota; Viridiplantae; Streptophyta; Magnoliopsida; Ranunculales; Papaveraceae.